UAAGCGAAAAUUAAAUAGUUAAUGCUAUAGAAAUUAAGAGAUUAGAUAAGGCCUGUGGGUCGAGGCAUACGAAAGCACUGUCCUAAAAACGAGAUUGCCCCUUCAUGUGCGAGGCUCCAACAAUCAUUCCUAGCGAUACAACGACUACUGUCCACCCCGUCGGCACGUCUUCAGGGUGGUGCAAUACGAACCCAAUAAGCUUUCAAAGAUCUAGCAAAAACGGCAAUGCAAAGUGUAGAAUAGAUGUAAAAAUCAAUGUGGAAGGUGAAGAGGAAGAUGUAAAAAUC
This 287-nucleotide long non-coding RNA is filed under the name Ananas comosus (pineapple). RNAcentral describes it as "long non-coding RNA (ACOM_LNC019506)". The record is from RNAcentral. Lineage: Eukaryota; Viridiplantae; Streptophyta; Magnoliopsida; Poales; Bromeliaceae.